RNAcentral lists this long non-coding RNA (752 nucleotides) under Patiria miniata (bat star). RNAcentral describes it as "uncharacterized LOC119719245". Lineage: Eukaryota; Metazoa; Echinodermata; Asteroidea; Valvatida; Asterinidae. The record is from RNAcentral.
UUUCUUAUAUUUUUUAUUUUCGCGCACCUCAUUACUCGGUAAUGAGAUCACCCUACGCACAUAAAUAGUCGAGUCCUAAAGUUUUUCUCCAAUAAGAAACGACUAUAGUUCCCGCGCCAUUAAAAACGUAUAACCACUGAGAUUUAAGGCGUUGGCAUUCGAUGCAUGGAGCGAUGUGAUGUAAUAGGACAUGUUCUAGCAUUCUCCAGCAUUGUCAUCAACCAUUGUGGUUGGUGGUACUAUUAUUCCCUUAAUUGGUUGGUAUGUAAAUGUACAUAGAAUGAGAGAGAGAAUGAGAGAGAGGGAGAAAGCCUUGGGGAGAACGAUAGUAGCGUCAGAUCAGAAAGCAUCAUCAAAAUUAGUCCGUGUUAGUCUGAGUGUGUGUGAAUGUGACCGGUAUCAACCGUCCGAAGACACCUGAAUGCAGCAGGUUAUAGAAAACCCAAGAUUCUGAUUUUUGUGGAAAUCAGCCACAAAAUCCAGUUUGUCAGCUCGAUCGGCAAAAUUACAGUGCCGAAGUAAGAUCUUCGGACCAGCAGUCCCCGGUCCGAUUGUGACCAAAAUCGCAACACUCAGCCCGGCAUCAAUUAAACUGCACUCUCCACAACCAUGGCCGUAAAUACUGGUAUGAUCUAACCCGCCACUGAGCCUGAGGGACCGCCUGAGAGAACGCCUGAGAGAUCGGCUACUUGGCCGUCAUACUCAACUACCUACAGCACGUCUAAGUAAAGCGCAGAAUAGUCCUACUUUCA